UACAGAGGGUGCGAGCGUUGUCCGGAAUUACUGGGCGUAAAGCGUGCGCAGGCGGCUUUGCAAGACAGAUGUGAAAUCCCCGGGCUUAACCUGGGAACUGCAUUUGUGACUGCAUGGCUGGAGUGCGGCAGAGGGGGAUGGAAUUCCGCGUGUAGCAGUGAAAUGCGUAGAUAUGCGGAGGAACACCGAUGGCGAAGGCAAUCCCCUGGGCCUGCACUGACGCUCAUGCACGAAAGCGUGGGGAGCAAACAGG
Molecule: ribosomal RNA, 253 nt
Filed under: uncultured bacterium
Lineage: Bacteria
Description: partial 16S ribosomal RNA
Rfam family: Bacterial small subunit ribosomal RNA
Source: RNAcentral